AGCAGCCGCGGUAAUUCCAGCUCCAAUAGCGUAUAUUAAAGUUGUUGCAGUUAAAAAGCUCGUAGUUGAAUUUCGGGGUCAGUAGGUCGGUCGUGCCACUGGUAUGAACUGGUUUUACUGAUUCCUCCCUCUUGAAGAACUGUAAUGCCAUUAAUUUGGUGUUGCAGGGAAUCAGGACUGUUACUUUGAAAAAAUUAGAGUGUUUAAAGCAGGCUCACGCUUGAAUACAUUAGCAUGGAAUAAUGAAAUAGGACGUUCGAUCCUAUUUUGUUGGUUUUUAGGAUCAACGUAAUGAUUAAUAGGGAUAGUUGGGGGCAUUAGUAUUCAAUUGUCAGAGGUGAAAUUCUUGGAUUUAUUGAAGACUAACUACUGCGAAAGCAUUUGCCAAGGAUGUUUUCAUUAAUCAAGAACGAAAGUUAGGGGAUCGAAGACGAUCAGAUACCGUCGUAGUCUUAACCAUAAACUAUGCCGACUAGGGAUCGGAUGAUGUUAAUUUUUUAAUGACUCAUUCGGCGCCUUACG
This 522-nucleotide ribosomal RNA is filed under the name uncultured Glomus. RNAcentral describes it as "SSU rRNA". It matches the Rfam family "Eukaryotic small subunit ribosomal RNA", at positions 569 to 1092 of the family's 1831-position model. Lineage: Eukaryota; Fungi; Glomeromycota; Glomeromycetes; Glomerales; Glomeraceae. The record is from RNAcentral.